Non-coding RNA from Chelonia mydas (Green sea turtle), 47 nucleotides. The record is from Rfam. Lineage: Eukaryota; Metazoa; Chordata; Testudines; Cheloniidae.
CCAAAGGCUCUUUUAAGAGCCACUACAUUCACACUGAAAGGAGCUUU